UGUUAAAGUUGCAUACCAUAAUUGAUAAUAAUAUAUAAAACCAAAAAUCAUUUUUGUCAUUUUUUCGGCCAUCGGAGAGUUACAACCGGAAUUCCGAAGGAUCUUCGCCGGCGGCCAUGCCGAAUCCAAACUACAAUCACUUGCAGACUCCACUUCGCCAUACUCAGUCGUCUUCUUCAUCCUCAACUUCCAGACUCCUUCUUCUUCUAACCUUCCUCCCUCUCACUCUCGCAUUCCUUGCUUUCGUCCUCCAGUGGCGCGGCGGACUCACCGACCCCGCCACCCGUUGGUCUCCGCCGGGUUCCUACCAGUUCCCCGGCAUGGAAUCCUCGCCACUCUCCCCGAUUUCGCGCCACUCCACGCCUUCUGCCUCUGAUUGCCUCAAUCUUGGUCGGAGUGUUUCGCCCUCGUUCCCGUACUAUCAGGACUGGAAGUUCGAUCGCGGAUCAAAUUUGAAGCCCAAGAUAUGCAUUACAACAAGUACGUCAGCAGGAUUAGAGCAAAUCUUGCCCUGGAUGUUCUAUCACAAGGUCAUUGGAGUUUCAACCUUCCUUCUUUUUGUGGAGGGCAAAGCUGCAUCUCCUGAUGUGACUAGAGUUUUGGAGUCAAUUCCUGGAGUGAAGUUGAUAUUCAGAACAAAAGAGUUAGAGGAGCAGCAGGCAAAAAGUCGGAUCUGGAAUGAAACAUGGCUUUCUGGUUUCUUUUACAAACCUUGCAAUUAUGAACUAUUUGUGAAGCAAUCUCUCAAUAUGGAGAUGGCCAUCAUUAUGGCAAGGGAUGCUGGCAUGGAUUGGAUAAUUCAUCUUGAUACUGAUGAGUUGGUACAUCCAGUCGGUGCUCAGGAGUACUCCUUGAGGCAGUUGCUGCUUGAUGUGCCUGGAAAUGUUGAUAUGGUUAUUUUUCCUAAUUAUGAAAGCAGUGUUGAAAGGGAUGAUAUAAAGGAACCUUUUACUGAGGUCUCGAUGUUCAAGAAAAACUUUGACCACCUGCCCAAGGAUACAUAUUUUGGCAUGUACAAAGAAUCAACUCGUGGUAACCCAAAUUACUUUUUGACUUAUGGAAAUGGGAAAUCAGCUGCUCGAAUUCAAGAUCAUCUUCGCCCCAAUGGUGCACAUAGAUGGCAUAAUUACAUGAAAACCCCAAAUGAGAUUAAAUUGGAGGAAGCUGCCGUAUUACACUACACAUAUGCAAAAUAUUCUGAUUUGACCUCUAGACGUGACCGCUGCAGCUGUAAACCUACCAAAGAUGAUGUUAAAAGAUGCUUCAUGUUGGAAUUCGAUAGAGCUGCAUUCAUAGUGGCAUCUACUGCAACCCAGGAGGAAAUGAUGAACUGGUACCGAGAACACGUAGUGUGGGGUGACAAAGAUGUAAAAAUCAAGUUGUUGAGGAAGGGGAUUUUAACACGAAUUAAUGCUCCUAUGGUUACUUGCCGGUCGUCUCUACGCACUUGCCACCGUCGUCGUCAUUUGAAAGGGAGGUAGCAGAUGCAAACCCAGACGUUAUAUCAUUCAACAUUCUAGGGAAGAAGGUAACAUUCUCCCAAGAGAAUUUUAACUUGAUAACUGAGUUGUGGCCGACCAGGGAAAUAGUGGAAAGAGAAACAAGCGUUGAAAGGCUGCGAGAACUCAUUCUUGGACCGAAGGACCCAAAUAGAAAGGAUAGAUCUUGCAAGGAUGUGGAGACUGCAUUCGAGAACAUCAAUUUUACUAAUGACGAAGAUGCUGUCAAGAUUGCAUUGGCACUGUUUAUUAAAACGGUGAUGAUUGGAAAAGACAAAAAACCCAGUUCCAUGUGAAUAUAUUUGGGAUUGUCGAUGACCACGACAUCUUCGUACAUUACGACUGGUCUUCUCUCUUUUAUCGACAUACAUUGAAUAAUAUGAAGACUAUCAUGCGUGGGAAUGAGACAUAUGAUUCAAAGAAAGCAGAAGGUGAUCACCAUGCCUCACAUUACUAUAUAAAGGGAUUCGUACUUGCUUUCCAGAUAUGUACUUUUGUUUCUGAUUCACUUUAAUAUAUAUUGAACUUGUGUGUUAUGUACGUGUAUCAAAGUUUCCAUAUCGUAGGUUUGGGCUUACGAAAUUUUAUCCACAUCAAGUAAGUUCAUAGCCACCAAAGUCAGCAAGCUUGAAAUUCCUAUAAUUCUUAGAUGAACUUGUUCUUGUGCUCCACCUUAUAAAUCAUUGAGCAAUAAAGUUUUUCACCCAAGAAAAGUAAGUAAUCGAUCACUUCUGACUUGCUCAUUUGUUUAUAGUUUCAUGCAUUUUGACUUGCUCAUUUGUUUACGUACAGAUUAUUGUUGUGUCGAGACUUGUACCUAGCACAGAGGAGAUAAGGUACAAGAAGGACCACUUGGAAGGACUUAAUGUGGUUCUUGUUGUUGGAGCAAGAAGGAUUGAAGGGGUUGAACACUCCAUCAACACUCAUGAGUCCUUUGGGGGGCACGAAGAGCAUGAACCCCAUGUAGAAAACUCUGUAAAUGUGCAAGGUAUAGAGCCAGAAUCACGUAUGCCGGUUCAGGCUAACCCAAUAGUGUCGGAACCACGUAGGGAACAAAAGUCCUCAAGACAUCUCAUUCCAAAUCAUACAAGAUUCUUAGGGAGGAAACUAAAGAAGUUCGUAAAGAUUUGGCGAACUUGACUACCAUGGUCCGUCAGAUGGGAGAUACAUUUAUUGUCCAACAUCAUCUGAUGGGCCAACAAUUGAACGAAAUAAAGAUGAUGGUCCAUCGUCUGAAUGGGGCAUGCAUUUCUGUACAGUCGUUUAGAUAUUCCCAAAUGGACGAUUGUUUAGAAAAUCUAAACGGUUGUUUAGAUAAUCUAAAUGAUUGUUUAAGACUAUCUAAACGAUCGGUUAUAUUUUAUAGACGAUAAGUUAAAUAUUCUUUCACGAUCGUUUAGAUCAUAUUAAACGAUCGUUUAGAUUUUCUAGAUGAUCGUUUACAUAUUUUUAAACGAUCGAUUACCUCCCUUGACAGAAUAGUUUGUUUGAUUUGUUCAGGAUAAUAAUAAUACAAGGACUCAUCAUGAUGAGAGGUAUGAUAAUGAGGGACCUCGUGAUGAUAAUAAUGGUGAUAGUAACAAUAAUGAGGGACCUCGUAAUAAUGAUGAUCCCCCUCAGACCGAUGCAGAAGAUCCCCAAGGUACCCACCAAUAAACUCACAGUGUAGAAGAUACCCCUCAUACCGAUGUAGAAGAACAUGUCAGUGAACAACUAGUCAAUGAACAACCAGUUGGGACAAUUAGUGAUGUCAAUGAACUCCCUACUCAAGCGUUUAGUCUUAGGGGCAUUUCAUUGCGGAUUCAGCCAAGGUUGUGGGGACAUCAACUCAGAAGGAUGCUACUGAAGUUGAGGAAAAAAUUGAUCGAGAGCUUUGGAAAAGGAAAAACCAGCCAAGUUCACACCUAAGUUGGUGAAAAGGGGGAAGACAGGAGAUUCUCAGCCUCAAUCUUCUCAGUCCCAAUCUUCUCAGCCACAAUCUCCUCAGCCCCAAUCUUCUUAGCUUCAAUCGGCCACACUCAAUCCCAACCCCUUGGUCCCUGUACCUGACUUCCCCAUAAGGACCGUUAGUUCCUAUGACCCAUGCUUCCCAGUCCCAAAUGUUCUGUGGAACGCAUACAAAAGAUGGAAAAGCCAUCCUAAAACCAAAAACGAGGAGUGGACGAUUGUAUACAACCUUCAAGACCAAGGAUUUCUUCAAAAUGCUUGAGCAGAACACAUGGGUGCUUGGAGACACUAUGGAUCUCCUUUUGAUGCACAUGCAUUAGAAGUUGCACUCAAAACCUGACUUGUGCAAGUAUCGAUUCACGAUGAUUGACUCGAGCUUCACGAUAUGGAAAUUUCACAUAUUUGUUAAAACUAUUCUUCACUCAACCAUGUAUUUACCAUCUUGCCUGUCCUAGGAAGCUUGGAUAGAGCUAGAAGGUAUUACUUCUAAGAUCCAGUCAGGAGGUAUUGAAAUGGAAGGUGGUAAAAUGGCAAGCUGGUUGGAUCAUGAAGCACACAUGAGGUUUUGGGCGAACUCUCACUUCUUUAUUGACUACGUGCUUGGACAGUAUGAAGAAUACAAGCCAGCGUGGACAGAUGUUGACUUCGUAUUUGGGCCAAUCAAAAUCCAAACAACACUAGCUUAUGCUGGCCAUCGAUCUAGAGAGGUGCACAAUCUUUAUAUUUGACUCCAUGCCGAACUACAUCGAUGGCGACAUACUUGAUGGUUACCUCAAGCUUGUGGUCAGAGUAUACCUUCGAUGUUGAUUUUUGUCAAAUUUGACAAACAAUAUAAGAUGUUCAAGUACGGGCAAUGGAAAGUGAAGAGAUCGAAGGUGACCCUCCAAGAGGGCAAGUCUCUAGACUGUGACAUUUUUUGUGCUAAAUUUGUAGAAUACUGUGUAACUGGUGCUAAUAGGGUUGACUUAACACAGACUAAUAUGGAAUUGUAUAGGAAACAGUAUGUUGCCCAGUUGUGGGCAAAUAAAUAUUUAUGGAAAUAGAAUUGAUGUUUGACUAUAUAUAACUAAGAAAAUAAAUAACUAAGUAAUCGCCCAAACUAACUAAAAGAUCAUUUAAGAAUAUGUGUAAGAUCGUUCAAAAAUAUGUAAACGAACGUUUAGAAAAUUCUAACCGAUCGUUUAGAACAUUAAACGAUCGUUUAAUAAAAAUCUAAACAAUGAUGCAUAAUUAACUAAGUGAUUGUGCACAAAUAACUAAGCGAUCACGCAUAGAAAUUAUAGAUGGGCCAAUGCAGGUGUUAUCGAUGUUUGUCUGUACGUUUUCUUGUUAUGUCCUCUCUGACUAGAUCGUGUAUACCUAUGUAUUUGUCGUGGCUCCUUUCCAGGUUUGAUGUUGACCUACACUUGCUACCUUUUGUGGUGGUAUAAGUUCAAAAUCUUCAAAAUCUGUACUUCGACUCCAUUCUUGUCUAUGUCCAACUGGGAAG
Molecule: non-coding RNA, 4935 nt
Organism: Benincasa hispida (wax gourd)
Lineage: Eukaryota; Viridiplantae; Streptophyta; Magnoliopsida; Cucurbitales; Cucurbitaceae
Source: RefSeq, a predicted model, not a curated record